UNNGCUGGCGGCAUGCCUUCNCAUGCAAGCUCGAACGGCAGCACGGGAGCCUGCUCCUGGUGGCGAGUGGCGAACGGGUGAGUAAUACAUCGGAACGUACCCAGGAGUGGGGGAUAACGUAGCGAAAGUUACGCUAAUACCGCAUAUUCUGUGAGCAGGAAAGCGGGGGAUCGCAAGACCUCGCGCUCUUGGAGCGGCCGAUGUCGGAUUAGCUAGUUGGUGAGGUAAAAGCUCACCAAGGCGACGAUCCGUAGCAGGUCUGAGAGGAUGAUCUGCCACACUGGGACUGAGACACGGCCCAGACUCCUACGGGAGGCAGCAGUGGGGAAUUUUGGACAAUGGGGGCAACCCUGAUCCAGCCAUGCCGCGUGAGUGAAGAAGGCCUUCGGGUUGUAAAGCUCUUUCGGCGGGGAAGAAAUGGCAACGGCUAAUAUCCGUUGUUGAUGACGGUACCCGCAUAAGAAGCACCGGCUAACUACGUGCCAGCAGCCGCGGUAAUACGUAGGGUGCGAGCGUUAAUCGGAAUUACUGGGCGUAAAGCGUGCGCAGGCGGUUUCGUAAGACAGACGUGGCGGUUUCGUAAGACAGACGUGAAAUCCCCGGGCUCAACCUGGGAACUGCGUUUGUGACUGCGAGGCUAGAGUACGGCAGAGGGGGGUAGAAUUCCACGUGUAGCAGUGAAAUGCGUAGAGAUGUGGAGGAAUACCGAUGGCGAAGGCAGCCCCCUGGGUUAGUACUGACGCUCAUGCACGAAAGCGUGGGGAGCAAACAGGAUUAGAUACCCUGGUAGUCCACGCCCUAAACGAUGUCAACUAGGUGUUGGAAGGGUUAAACCUUUUAGUACCGCAGCUAACGCGUGAAGUUGACCGCCUGGGGAGUACGGCCGCAAGGUUAAAACUCAAAGGAAUUGACGGGGACCCGCACAAGCGGUGGAUGAUGUGGAUUAAUUCGAUGCAACGCGAAAAACCUUACCUACCCUUGACGUGCCAGGAACUUUCCAGAGAUGGAUUGGUGCCCGAUUACCUACCCUUGACGUGCCAGGAACUUUCCAGAGAUGGAUUGGUGCCCGAAAGGGAGCCUGGACACAGGUGCUGCAUGGCUGUCGUCAGCUCGUGUCGUGAGAUGUUGGGUUAAGUCCCGCAACGAGCGCAACCCUUGUCAUUAAUUGCCAUCAUUUAGUUGGGCACUUUAAUGAGACUGCCGGUGACAAACCGGAGGAAGGUGGGGAUGACGUCAAGUCCUCAUGGCCCUUAUGGGUAGGGCUUCACACGUCAUACAAUGGUCGGUACAGAGGGUUGCCAAGCCGCGAGGUGGAGCCAAUCCCAGAAAGCCGAUCGUAGUCCGGAUCGCAGUCUGCAACUCGACUGCGUGAAGUCGGAAUCGCUAGUAAUCGCGGAUCAGCAUGUCGCGGUGAAUACGUUCCCGGGUCUUGUACACACCGCCCGUCACACCAUGGGAGUGGGUUCUACCAGAAGUAGUUAGCCUAACCGUAAGGAGGGCGAUUACCACGGUAGGAUUCAUGACUGGGGUGAAGUCGUAACAAGGUAGCC
This 1550-nucleotide ribosomal RNA is filed under the name uncultured bacterium. RNAcentral's name for it is "bacterial SSU rRNA". It matches the Rfam family "Bacterial small subunit ribosomal RNA". The record is from RNAcentral.